UCAUGAUUCACGUCAAACUCUACGGAAUUUUAUCAAUCUAUGAAGCUUAGAAGUUGAUUAAAUUUAAGAUUUCAAUUGCCAGUUUUACGACGCUGUGCAAGCUGUGACUUCAUAACAAGAGUACGCGCUAACGCAUGCUAACGUUCGAUGAGUAGGUCCAUAAAAUCAUGCCUGUGUAUGCCCUGCUCUUCGCGUUCCUUGAUCAUCUCUGAGACGACAUUCUUAAAGAACUUAGUGACUUCAGUGUCGAUGACCUGCACCCGUAGAAUUUUAAAUAAGAUGAAAAAGUUGGCGUCAAUUUAGACCUGAGGCUCUUCCAUUUUCUACCUUCAAGGUUGAACAGAUGCCCGUUAAGGGGAUCCUGGGAAUUGUUCACCGGGAUUCCGCGGUUAGUAAAGAUCGCGAAGUCCUUCACGCAAAC
Molecule: long non-coding RNA, 421 nt
Organism: Athalia rosae (coleseed sawfly)
Lineage: Eukaryota; Metazoa; Arthropoda; Insecta; Hymenoptera; Athaliidae
Exons: 3
Source: RefSeq, a predicted model, not a curated record